This is a transfer RNA of Ovis aries (sheep), 72 nucleotides long. It matches the Rfam family "tRNA". From Rfam's summary of the family: Transfer RNA (tRNA) molecules are approximately 80 nucleotides in length. The record is from Rfam. NCBI's taxonomy places the organism in Eukaryota, Metazoa, Chordata, Mammalia, Artiodactyla, Bovidae.
UCCCUGGUGGCUCAGACGGUAAAGCGUCUGUCUACAAUGCAGGAGACCCGGGUUCGAUCCCUGGGUCGGGAA